UUACAGCUAGAGCUCUUCUCUGACCUCAGAUGUUUUCCAAACACAAAUGAAUUUUUUAGAACCUACAGAAUGAUCGAUAAACAAAUAAGCAGGUUUCGGAGAUGGUUACCUAAGAAGCCAAUGAGGCUGGACAAGGAGACACUGCCAGACCUGGAGGAGAAUGACUGCUACACUGCCCCUUUCAGCCAGCAAAGGAUCCAUCACUUCAUCAUACACAACAAAGAAACGUUCUUCAACAAUGCCACAAGAAGUAGAAUCGUGCAUCACAUUUUACAAAGAAUAAAAUAUGAAGAAGGAAAAAACAAGAUUGGUCUGAAUCGUUUGCUUACCAAUGGCUCCUAUGAAGCUGCGUUUCCCCUGCAUGAGGGAAGUUAUAGAAGUAAAAACUCCAUUCGAACCCAUGGAGCAGAAAACCACCGACAUCUACUCUAUGAGUGCUGGGCCUCCUGGGGCGUGUGGUAUAAAUACCAACCUUUGGAUCUUGUAAGGCGGUACUUUGGAGAGAAGAUUGGGUUAUAUUUUGCCUGGUUGGGCUG
Molecule: small RNA, 536 nt
Filed under: Pan troglodytes (chimpanzee)
Lineage: Eukaryota; Metazoa; Chordata; Mammalia; Primates; Hominidae
Description: processed transcript
Source: RNAcentral